Molecule: ribosomal RNA, 518 nt
Filed under: uncultured bacterium
Lineage: Bacteria
Description: bacterial SSU rRNA
Rfam family: Bacterial small subunit ribosomal RNA
Source: RNAcentral
GAUGAACGCUAGCGGCAGGCUUAAUACAUGCAAGUCGAGGGGCAGCAGGACGGUAGCAAUACCGUUGCUGGCGACCGGCAAACGGGUGCGGAACACGUACGCAACUUACCCAUAACUGGGGGGAUAGCCCGGGGGAAAUCCCGGAUUAAUACCUCGUAACAUCACCGGGUGGCAUCACCUGGUGAUUAUAGCUCCGGCGGUUAUGGAUGGGCGUGCGCCUGAUUAGGUAGUUGGCAGGGUAACGGCCUACCAAGCCUACGAUUAGUAACUGGUGUGAGAGCACGACCAGUCACACGGGCACUGAGACACGGGCCCCGACUCCUACGGGAGGCAGCAGUAAGGAAUNUUGGUCAAUGGACGCAAGUCUGAACCAGCCAUGCCGCGUGAAGGAUGAAGGUCCUCUGGAUUGUAAACUUCUUUUUAUAUGGGACGAAACCCGGGCAUUCCUGCCCGAUUGACGGUACCAUAGGAAUAAGCACCGGCUAACUCCGUGCCAGCAGCCGCGGUAAUACGGAGGG